CCAACUGUUUUUCAGAAUGUAUUGCAAUUGUGCUUGAACGAAAGGAAUGCAGAAUGUUUCGUAUAGCUCAAUGUCAAUCCCACCCCCACCCAAGGAAAACUCUGGAAAACGCUUAUUUGACCCGACACGAAUCGUAAAAGUGCCAUGAAGUACAGCUCAAAUGCACAGCAGCCAGAAACAGAGCCACUUCUCUGGAGGCCUCGCAAGCUCCUAGUCCCUUUCCCUCACCCUUACUGCGAGCACACUCUCCAGGGCGCGUAGACCUACAGCCCGGCCCACAUCCGCCUCGCCUAGCCACGCCACGCCAUGCCACACUGCGGCGCCCGCCCCGCCCAUCGUCAGUCACUUGGCAGAGGCAGCACAGGCGGGAGCUGCUCUCCUCCGGGGAAUGGCAGCUCUGGCGAUGGCGGUGGCGCAAGUGGCGGCGGCUGAGUAGGUGGCGGCGGGGGGAGGAAGCGGCGGCUGCAGAAGCGGCAGCAGAAGCGGCGGCAGCCCAGAGUCGGCGGCGGCGGUAGCAGCGGCGGUGCAGACAGCAUCCGCUGCACAGUCGCCAAGGGCUUCGGCGUGGACGUCUCAUGCGGCGGCGGCGGCGGUAGCAGGGGCGUCGGCGGCGCAAGCGGCAUGGGCGCAGUUGGCAUCGGCAACUCAAGCGGCGGCGGCGCAGACCGCGUUGGCUUCACAAAAGGCGACCGUGACUCAAGCAGCCGCGGCGCAGACAGCGGCGUAGGCGGCGGCGUCGGCGGCGGCUGCGGCAGCAGCAGCAGCGGCGCAGACAGCGGCGUCGGCGACUGAAGUGGCGGCGGCGGUGCAGAUGGUGGCGGCGGCGAACUGCGGGCGGCAGCGUAGCGGCGACCGCGGUGGGAGCUCUAGGGCCAGCAGCUGAGGAAGGGCAGAGUCCUCAGAAGGCCAGAAAGACGCAUAGGAAGGCUUUUGUGGUUUGAGCGUCUGCACCUUGAGAAGCUGCGCUGAAGCCUUGAUAUGCAGCAUCUGCGAUGUGAGGGAAGGCACCUCCACCAGAUCGUGUCCCCGUGCUUUAAUAAACCACCAUUUUGCACCAGAGAGGACUCAAGAAUUCUUCCUUGGUCGUCAGCUCCAGACCUCAUCCCAGCGAACCUCACCUAUGUUGUAGAAGUUCAUCAUUUGGAGCCCAACGUGGGGCUGUGAGUCUUUACAUUUGGACUCUGAGCUUUGGUGCAAAAUUGAUAUUUGUGGAGAGAGGGAGAGAGAAUCCU
Molecule: long non-coding RNA, 1232 nt
Organism: Enhydra lutris kenyoni (northern sea otter)
Lineage: Eukaryota; Metazoa; Chordata; Mammalia; Carnivora; Mustelidae
Exons: 5
Source: RefSeq, a predicted model, not a curated record